AGAAGAAGAAGAAGAAGAAGAAGAAGAAGAAGAAGAAGAAGAAGAAGAAGAAGAAGAAGAAGAAGAAGAGUUUUACAGAUCCAGUAGCACCUGUGAAUGGGUGCCAUUUGUGCCUUUUCCACCUGAACUUGGAAGAUUUCUGCUGUGAGAUUUCCAGCUGGCUGAGAUGGGCAGAGGUCCUCUCUCACCAAACCCAGCCAGCUGCAUCGUCCCAGAGCUGGUGGCUGCAGGAAUUCCUCAGAGACCCAGCCAGACCCUAUUGCAGCACCUUCCCAAGGCAGAACACAGCACGGAGUAAAGCUCAGGAAGAUUUCUGGGUGCUGCAACCUGAGCAGAGGGAUCCAGCCUCGCCAUGAAACCAUCCUGGGGUUCUGAGCACUGAUGCUUUGAGCUUUUCCAGAAGUGGCCAGAGAGGCAAACAUUUCUCCUGCUGGUGAACAGAAGGGGUCAGGCCAGAGGUCUCCUGGAGAGCCCCUGGCACCACCAGCAGCUCCCAAAGCUUCCAGGGCAGACACAAAGGUUAAAACUGGAAUUCCCAAACAGCCACUCACAGCCUUCUCCACCUCCUUGGAGGAGGGGGUGCAAGGCUGGGGCUCGUGGUGGUUUGGAAUAAAUCAUGCCAAGUGUUGCUGAAGGACCAAAACUCAGACUCGAUGGAAGCCAGUGAAAGCAGAUUUCACAUCAACAAAAAACUUCUGCUCCCCAUGCACUGGGCUGGGAGCUGUUAAAGGAGGAAUUUGUUCUGCUGUAUUAAUGUUCAAGGCUUUCCAAUUUACACACAGAACACAAGAGAGUUCCUGGCUGGGCCACCCAGCACCACUGGGCACAGGGGCUGGGGGCACCAAACCCAGCUGGGUGCUGUGAGAAGACCCCUGAGCUCACGAAUCCGCAAACCAAGACCUCCAAGGAACAGGGGCUCUGGAGAUAUUGCAGUCACAGUUAAUGAAGUCCUUAAUGAACUGACAGGCCUGGCUCUUAUCUCACUUAUGCCAGAUUUAAACCUAUGUAACUCCAUUAACUUGGUUACCUCUGGAGGUGAUUAAUCCUGGCCUCUUGUGCUCAGCCAGUUCUGCUGAACUUUCUCUGCCUGCAGGACUUUACUUUCCACUUGAACUCUGGAAGAUCAGCUUUACCCCAAGGAGACACACUCUGUGUACACAGAGAAAAUGAUUUCAGAUGU
Long non-coding RNA from Passer domesticus (house sparrow), 1180 nucleotides. RefSeq lists it as uncharacterized. Lineage: Eukaryota; Metazoa; Chordata; Aves; Passeriformes; Passeridae. The transcript has 8 exons. The record is from RefSeq and is a predicted model, not a curated record.